This is an RNA transcript of Osmerus eperlanus (European smelt), 1713 nucleotides long. It is a transcript of the gene named golgin A7 family, member Ba, with no coding region annotated. The record is from RefSeq and is a predicted model, not a curated record. The transcript is spliced from 6 exons. NCBI's taxonomy places the organism in Eukaryota, Metazoa, Chordata, Actinopteri, Osmeriformes, Osmeridae.
CGUCCCUCCCAGCCUCACGUCCCAGCGCCGUCCCACGAAGAGCGGUUCAUCCCCGGGACACGUCCACCACCGUCGUUGGAUGGCAACAUGGCGACAGAGUUUCACAACCUCCAGGAGUUAAGACACAGCGCCUCUCUGGCCAAUAAGGUGUUCAUCCAGAGAGACUACAGCGAAGGAACCACCUGCAGGUUCCACACCAAGUUCCCCCCCGAGCUGGAUACCAGGAUCGAGCGGCCGUUGUUUGAGGACACAGUGAAGACGUUGAAUAACUACUAUGCCGAGGCAGAGAAGAUGGGGGGGCGGUCCUACCUGGAGGGCUGCCUGGCCUGCGUCACCGCCUACGUCAUCUUCCUCUGCAUGGAGACCCGCUACGAGAAGGUGUUGAAGAAGAUAGCCAGGUACAUCCAGGAGCAGAAUGAGAAGAUCUACGCCCCCCGGGGUCUCCUCAUCACCGACCCCAUUGAGAGGGGCAUGAGGGUCAUUGAGAUCUCCAUCUACGAGGACCGAGGCUCCAGCGGCAGCAGCUCAGGCGGCAGCUCCACGUCCGGCAGCAGCGCUCGGUGACCGGGCUGUCUCCUCCACCUUCGCCCUGGAGCUCUCCUCCACCUCCACCCCCCACCCUGGAGCUGUCUCCUCCACCUCCACCCCCAUCCUGGACCUCCCAGUGGGGCACAUACCUCCAUCCCUCUCCACCCUCUCCACUUCGCAACAUAGCUGCUCCACCACUGACUGCUGCCCUACCGAACCCUGAAUGGUCCCAGACCCGGUGCUGGACCACGCGGGGUUGACCUGCAGCAGGAACCGACCAAACAUGACCACAAACAUAGAUCUCCACUCCCCUGGACUGUCUGGCACUGUAGCUGUUCACUGCUGAAUGUAGCUCAUCAAGCCCAUCCUUGUUGUUGUAGCUCAUCUGUGACUUUCCCUUUUCUUUCCUUCUUCCUUUCUUUUCUUCCUGCUCUUUCUUUCUCCCGUUCCUUCUCUCUCUCGCUCUCCAAACAACCUGUUGUUUACGUUCUCCUCCAGUUCCGUACCAACUCCUCUUCCUCUGAGCCUCGAUCCAAACUAUUAUGCAAAAACACAGCGACACACAGACUGACGUAGCCUCGUGAGCAGGAGGGAAGAGGAGCGUGAAGAAGGAAGCUGUCACAGGUGUCUGAGCCUCGUGCGUGUCAGCUGUCUGUCAGCCUCUCUGAUUCAGAACGCCUCUGAGAUGUAGCCUGUUCCACCAGUCUUCCUGUUCCUGUCUGAGAUGUUCUGGUCAUGCCCUCUCUUCCUGUGUUCAACAAACAUGAAGAGAACCUCUGUAGAAUCUGGAGGGAACCUCAGUAGAACAUCAGGAGAACCUUUUUAGAUCCCUGGAAAGAACCUCCUUUAGAACCUAAAAAGGAACUUGAUAAAACCUGAAGAGAACCUCUGUAGAACAUGAAAAGAACCUCUGUAGAACCUGGAGAGAACCUCCAUAGAACCCGGAGAGAAGUUCUAAAGAACCGUUGUUAACUGCCAAGCCGUCUGUGGGACUUUCCCCCCAUGUGAAGUGUCUCUCCUGUAGCUGACCAGAGACACCUGUGCUUACCUAGAGAAGAUGUUUUUUUUCAUAUUGCUCCAUGUUAUUUAUUACUGUGGACUGGAGGUGUGUGGGUGGAGUGUGUGGGUGGAGUGUGUGUGUGAGAGUGUGUGUCCGUAGAGAACAUCCAAUAAACACUGCUUCCA